UGGGGAAUUUUGGACAAUGGGGGAAACCCUGAUCCAGCCAUCCCGCGUGUGCGAUGAAGGCCUUCGGGUUGUAAAGCACUUUUGGCAGGAAAGAAACGUCAUGGGUUAAUACCCCGUGAAACUGACGGUACCUGCAGAAUAAGCACUGGCUAACUACGUGCCAGCAGCCGCGGUAAUACGUAGGGUGCAAGCGUUAAUCGGAAUUACUGGGCGUAAAGCGUGCGCAGGCGGUUCGGAAAGAUAGAUGUGAAAUCCCAGAGCUCAACUUUGGAACUGCAUUUUUAACUACCGGGAUAGAGUGUGUCAGAGGGAGGUGGAAUUCCGCGUGUAGCAGUGAAAUGCGUAGAUAUGCGGAGGAACACCGAUGGCGAAGGCAGCCUCCUGGGAUAACACUGACGCUCAUGCACGAAAGCGUGGGGAGCAAACAGG
Molecule: ribosomal RNA, 429 nt
Filed under: Acidobacteriota bacterium
Lineage: Bacteria; Pseudomonadati; Acidobacteriota
Description: Acidobacteria bacterium partial 16S ribosomal RNA
Rfam family: Bacterial small subunit ribosomal RNA
Source: RNAcentral